AACGCUGGCGGCGUGCCUAAUACAUGCAAGUCGAGCGCAGGAAAUAAACAGAACCCUUCGGGGUGAUGUUUAUGGAAUGAGCGGCGGACGGGUGAGUAACACGUGGGCAACCUGCCUGUAAGAUCGGGAUAACUCGCGGAAACGUGAGCUAAUACCGGAUAACACUUUUCAUCUCAUGGUGAGAAGAUAAAAGACGGUUUCGGCUGUCACUUACAGAUGGGCCCGCGGCGCAUUAGCUAGUUGGUGAGGUAACGGCUCACCAAGGCGACGAUGCGUAGCCGACCUGAGAGGGUGAUCGGCCACACUGGGACUGAGACACGGCCCAGACUCCUACGGGAGGCAGCAGUAGGGAAUCUUCCGCAAUGGACGAAAGUCUGACGGAGCAACGCCGCGUGAGUGAUGAAGGUUUUCGGAUCGUAAAACUCUGUUGUUAGGGAAGAACAAGUUGGGUAGUAACUGACCCAACCUUGACGGUACCUAACCAGAAAGCCACGGCUAACUACGUGCCAGCAGCCGCGGUAAUACGUAGGUGGCAAGCGUUGUCCGGAAUUAUUGGGCGUAAAGCGCUCGCAGGCGGUCUUUUAAGUCUGAUGUGAAAGCCCACGGCUUAACCGUGGAGGGUCAUUGGAAACUGGAGGACUUGAGUACAGAAGAGGAGAGUGGAAUUCCACGUGUAGCGGUGAAAUGCGUAGAGAUGUGGAGGAACACCAGUGGCGAAGGCGACUCUUUGGUCUGUAACUGACCCUGAGGAACGAAAGCCUGGGUAGCGAACAGGAUUAAAUACCCUGGUAGUCCACGCCGUAAAC
Molecule: ribosomal RNA, 806 nt
Filed under: Bacillus sp. AI-4
Lineage: Bacteria; Bacillati; Bacillota; Bacilli; Caryophanales; Bacillaceae
Description: bacterial SSU rRNA
Rfam family: Bacterial small subunit ribosomal RNA
Source: RNAcentral